RNAcentral lists this transfer RNA (65 nucleotides) under Dipodomys ordii (Ord's kangaroo rat). It matches the Rfam family "tRNA". Rfam says of the family: Transfer RNA (tRNA) molecules are approximately 80 nucleotides in length. Their secondary structure includes four short double-helical elements and three loops (D, anti-codon, and T loops). The record is from Rfam by way of RNAcentral. Lineage: Eukaryota; Metazoa; Chordata; Mammalia; Rodentia; Heteromyidae.
GGUGGCUCAGUGGUAGAGUGCUUGCCUUGCAUGCAUGAAGCCCUGGGUUCGGUUCCUCAGCACCA